AACGAACGCUGGCGGCAUGCCUAACACAUGCAAGUCGAACGAGAUCUUCGGGUCUAGUGGCGCACGGGUGCGUAACGCGUGGGAAUCUGCCCUUUGGUUCGGAAUAACAGUUGGAAACGACUGCUAAUACCGGAUGAUGACGAAAGUCCAAAGAUUUAUCGCCAGAGGAUGAGCCCGCGUAGGAUUAGCUAGUUGGUGUGGUAAAGGCGCACCAAGGCGACGAUCCUUAGCUGGUCUGAGAGGAUGAUCAGCCACACUGGGACUGAGACACGGCCCAGACUCCUACGGGAGGCAGCAGUGGGGAAUAUUGGACAAUGGGGGAAACCCUGAUCUAGCCAUGCCGCGUGAUCGAUGAAGGCCUUAGGGUUGUAAGGAUCUUUCAGUGGGGAAGAUAAUGACUGUACCCACAGAAGAAGCCCCGGCUAACUCCGUGCCAGCCGCCGCAGUAA
Molecule: ribosomal RNA, 449 nt
Filed under: uncultured bacterium
Lineage: Bacteria
Description: partial 16S ribosomal RNA
Rfam family: Bacterial small subunit ribosomal RNA
Source: RNAcentral